This 216-nucleotide ribosomal RNA is filed under the name uncultured bacterium. RNAcentral's name for it is "partial 16S ribosomal RNA". It matches the Rfam family "Bacterial small subunit ribosomal RNA", at positions 115 to 334 of the family's 1533-position model. The record is from RNAcentral.
GCUUGGGAAUCUAGCUUAUGGAGGGGGAUAACUACGGGAAACUGUAGCUAAUACCGCGUAGUAUCGAGAGAUGAAAGUGUGGGACCUUCGGGCCACAUGCCAUAGGAUGAGCCCAAGUGGGAUUAGGUAGUUGGUGAGGUAAAGGCUCACCAAGCCGACGAUCUCUAGCUGGUCUGAGAGGAUGACCAGCCACACUGGGACUGAGACACGGCCCAG